GGAGAGGUGGCUGAGUGGUUUAAAGCGCACGCCUGGAGAGCGUGAGUACCCCGAAAGGGUAUCCAGGGUUCGAAUCCCUGCCUCUCCGCCA
This 91-nucleotide transfer RNA is filed under the name Verrucomicrobia bacterium ADurb.Bin118. RNAcentral describes it as "tRNA-Ser". It matches the Rfam family "tRNA". From Rfam's summary of the family: Transfer RNA (tRNA) molecules are approximately 80 nucleotides in length. Lineage: Bacteria; Pseudomonadati; Verrucomicrobiota. RNAcentral also lists the same sequence under 1 other name. The record is from RNAcentral.